The sequence is a vault RNA, 94 nucleotides long. Its record names the gene Vault. It matches the Rfam family "Vault RNA". Rfam says of the family: This family of RNAs are found as part of the enigmatic vault ribonucleoprotein complex. The complex consists of a major vault protein (MVP), two minor vault proteins (VPARP and TEP1), and several small untranslated RNA molecules. The record is from Ensembl.
GUGCUGGUUUAGCUCAGUGGGUUACUUCUUGUGUAAAAACUAUUUCAUGGUCUGCAGGCCGGAGGUACGACCCCGGGCGCAGUCCAGUGCUUUU